AUGUUGUCUAAGCAAGUUUGGAGAUUGUUAUGCAACCCUGAAUCAUUAUGUGCUAGGAUUUUGAAGGCAAAAUACUAUCCAAACCAAAGUAUCCUUGAAGCUGGACCAAAAAAGGGGUCCUCUUUCACUUGGCAAAGUAUUUUUGCGGGUAUCCAAACCUUCAAAAGAGGAUGUAUUUGGAGAGUUGGAAACGGUGACUCCAUUGAUAUAUGGCGAGAUCCAUGGAUCCCUACAAGCCCGGACAGAAAGGUAAUGACGCCAAGAGGAAAUAUUGUUAUUACAAAGGUGUCCGAAUUAAUUGAUCCACAGUUGGGACAAUGGGAUGAAGAUCUGGUUCGGUCUUUGUUUACUCACGUCGAUGCAGCCAGAAUUUUCAAUAUCCCGUUAAGCUUGAAUGGAUUUGAUGAUUUUGUUGCUUGGCAUUAUAAUAGAAACAAAAUGUUCUCGGUGAGAUCGGCCUACCAUGUUGAAUGGAGACACCAAUUCGGGAAUUCCUACCAAUAUAUGGCUUCAUCUUCAAGAGGAUCAAACCCCAUAUGGCAGAAAGUAUGGAAAAUAUCUGUUCCGGGCAAAGUUAAAACUUUUGUGUGGAAGGUACUACAUGGAGCUAUUCCGGUUAAAUCAGUUCUGGUGAAUCGACACAUAGGGACGGACAGCUUGUGUCCGAUUUGUCAUAAGUAUGCAGAAGACUUGAAGCACCUUCUGUUUGAUUGUUCCCCGGCGCAAGAGCUCUAGAAAAUGUUACAACUAGAUAAACUGAUU
Molecule: ribosomal RNA, 762 nt
Filed under: Triticum aestivum (bread wheat)
Lineage: Eukaryota; Viridiplantae; Streptophyta; Magnoliopsida; Poales; Poaceae
Description: partial small subunit ribosomal RNA
Source: RNAcentral